Molecule: RNA transcript, 5979 nt
Organism: Falco peregrinus (peregrine falcon)
Lineage: Eukaryota; Metazoa; Chordata; Aves; Falconiformes; Falconidae
Gene: RECQL
Gene name: RecQ like helicase
Exons: 17
Source: RefSeq, a predicted model, not a curated record
GUCUGCCCGGGUCUGGCCGGGUCUGCCCGGCGCGGCGCCCUCCGCCCGUGCGUCCCCCGUCCCACUGCUCCUCCGCGGCGCGGCCCGGCCCGCACCGCAGCCCACCGCGGGGGGCUUCCUGCUCGGGCCUUCCACCCGGGGGCGGGGGGUGCCCCCGGUGUUCCGCGUUCGGCUUGCACUUGGCGGACGCUGAGGCGGCCGGUGUGACCGGUUCUCUCUGCUUUCGGUCUGGCUUGGGUUCUCCUUUCGUACUGAGAGGUGGGGCUUUUUAAGGUGGCUUCACGGCCGGCUGGGGGAGUUGUUACCCGGUUAAACUACCGCUGAGGUGACACCUCUGGGUGGUAUAAAGACAGAACUGCUUAACUCAGAUUAUGUGCAUAACCUGGAUGCUGCUGAGUUAUACAGUAAUCAACUUCUUUGUAAAUGAUAGUUGCUUGAUCAAAUAAGAUCUCCUAAGGAUAACAUCCUCUAAUCUCCAAAGAUGACAGCUGUUGCAGUACUAGAGGAGGUACUGGCUUCCAUCGAAAAUGAGCUGCAAGCAGUGGAGAUGCAGAUUCAGGAGCUUGUGGAUAAACAACAGGAACUCAUUCAAAAGAAGAUGAGAGUGAAGAGUCUGAUAAAGCAGUCCUCAGAAGACUUGGAGGCAGGCGGAAGUAAAGACACCGAAACCUCAGCUGAGGCAUGGAACAAAAAAGAUUUUCCAUGGUAUGACAAGAUAAAAACUGCACUGCAGAGCAAAUUUAAACUUCAGAAGUUUAGGAACUUGCAACUUGAAACAGUAAAUGCUGCAAUGGCGGGAAAGGAUAUAUUUCUUGUCAUGCCUACAGGUGGUGGGAAGAGCCUUUGCUAUCAGUUACCAGCUGUCUGUUCUGAUGGUUUCACACUCGUGAUAUGUCCUUUGAUAUCACUUAUGGAAGAUCAGCUCAUGGUUUUGGAACAGCUUGGUGUUUCUGCAACUUUGUUAAAUGCCUCCAGCAGUAAGGAACACGUGAAGUGGGUUCAUACCGAAAUGCUAAACAGAAAUUCACAACUGAAGCUCAUUUAUGUGACCCCGGAGAAGAUUGCAAAAAGCAAAAUGUUCAUGUCAAAGCUAGAGAAAGCUUAUCAAGCAGGGUGUCUUGCUCGCAUUGCUGUAGAUGAGGUCCAUUGCUGUAGUCAAUGGGGCCAUGACUUCAGGCCUGAUUACAAGUCUCUUGGUAUCUUGAAAAGACAGUUUCCCAAUGCUCCCUUGAUUGGAUUGACAGCAACUGCUACAAAUCAUGUUUUAAAGGAUGCUCAGAAAAUUUUGCAUGUUCAGAAGUGCAUUACCUUCACUGCUUCUUUCAACCGGCCCAAUCUUUACUAUGAGGUUCGGCAUAAGCCUUCAAAUAGUGAAGAUUUCAUUGAGGACAUUGUUAAGAUCAUUAAUGGAAGAUACAAAGGACUCUCAGGAAUUGUUUACUGUUUUUCUCAGAAGGAUUCUGAGCAAGUAACUGUGAGUUUGCAGAAACUGGGAAUCAAGGCGGGGACUUACCACGCAAACAUGGAUGCUAAAUAUAAGACAAAAGUUCAUAAAGGAUGGGCAGCAAAUCAAAUCCAGGUUGUAGUGGCAACUGUUGCUUUUGGCAUGGGAAUUGAUAAACCUGAUGUGAGGUUUGUAAUUCAUCAUUCUAUGAGCAAAUCCAUGGAGAACUACUACCAAGAGAGUGGACGUGCAGGUAGAGAUGACCAAAAAGCUGACUGCAUUUUGUAUUAUGGUUUUGGAGAUAUAUUCAGAAUCAGCUCAAUGGUAGUGAUGGAAAAUGUAGGGCAAGAGAAGCUGUAUGAUAUGGUGUCUUACUGCCAGAAUAUGAAGAAAUGUCGCCGGGUCCUCAUAGCCCAUCAUUUUGAUGAAGUAUGGGAUUCUGCAAACUGCAACAGAAUGUGUGAUAACUGCUGUAGAGAGAACUCAUGUGAGAAAAUGGAUAUAACAGGGUACUGCAGGGAUCUAAUCAAGAUACUUGAGCAAGCUGAAAACAUGAGCGAGAAACUCACCCCACUGAAAUUAAUCGAUGCGUGGUCCGGGAAAGGUGUAUCAAAAUUCAGGGUAGCUGAAGUUACUCCACCAAAGCACCCUCGAGAGGAACUGGAGAGAAUUAUUGUCCAUUUACUGCUGCAGCAGUAUCUGAAGGAAGACUUCAGCUUCACAGCAUUCGCUACAAUAUCCUACCUGAAGACAGGACCAAAAGCAGGUCUGCUGAGAAAUGAGGCACACAUCAUAACUAUAGAAGGGAUAACAAACAAGAAAAGUGUUUACAAGGACAAACCAUCUCAAUCUUCGAAUUCAAAAGGAAGCAGCGAAGACGGUCAGACUAUUUCAAAGACUGUUCAAGAUUCAGUGGUGAAGAAGUCUCAGCAGCAUAAACGACCUAACUGUGGUUCUAACUUAAAAGCAAAGAAGCUUAAGAUUCAGGCAGGUGGAGAUGACCAACCAGUAGUUGUUGACUGACUUUUACAGACUACGUUUAGGAUCUAAUCAUGUUUGCUUCUCCAUGUGCAACGCAAUGUAUCUGUCUGGCUGUUCCCAAUCACCUUCAUGUGUCUGAAGAUGUCUUCGGGGAGUAUUUGCUCUGUAAGUCUUCUGAGGGCUGAGAUGAAGCUGACUGCAUGUUAAGGCCUUAGGCCCUUCUUUUUGAAGCUGGUGAGAUAGCUGCCUCUUCCCAGUUGUCAGGAUCCUCCCCCACCCUCCAAGUCCUUUCAGAAAUGAUAGCAGCCUUGCACCGACCUCUACUAGCUUCCUCAGCAUCCCUCAGUGCGGCCCAUCCAGUCAUGUGGAAUUGUGUGUGACCAAUUGGCUGAAGUGAUCUGUACCACUUUCCUCUACUGCUUUACUCCCAGACUAUUAGUAGGCUUGGGGACCUGGGAGGUCGGAGGGAAAAUGUUACCAGUGAAAACGAGGCAAAAAAUGCAUGUUUAUUCUAUGUCCCAUGUUGUUCUGGGUAUCUUUUACCUUGUGCCUCCUUUUUGUGUUUCACCUAGCUGAGGAGUUCUCUGUUCACCUGUGCUGGUCUUCUGCCAUGCUUGCUCAACCUUUUGCACUUUGGAAUGGGCUAUUUGUGUUUUGAGAAGGUUUGGAAAUCCAGCAGCUCUCCUGAGCCCCGUUGCCUUCCAGGGCAGUCUCCCUGGGAUCCUGGCAAGCAGAUCCCACAACAAGCUGAAAUCUGCUCUCCUGAGGGCCAAGGCAGUGGUUCUACUUAGUCUUCCUCACUUCUACCUAUUUUAAAAUUCUGAAUCAUACAGUCACUGAGCAACACCUGCGAUCUGGGCGCCCAGUAAGAAACAAACUUGGCAGUGUCUCCAAGUCAGGUUGGCAGUGAGGGCUUCUGUCCCCCACAGGAGCGAUUCUCUGGUAACUCUCAUCUUUUUCUUCACUGUGUGAACACAUGGCUCACAUUCAGCCGGCGUCGGUGCAUCCCUUGGCGGAGUUAUUCAUCCCCGCCUUUCUCAGGGCACUGUCCCCACUCUGAAAGGGCAGAGCUGCAGGUAGAAAAGAGCCCUUUUGUGUUACUGGAAGCAAGAGGUUUACAGCCUUCCCUCCUCUGGGAGUGUUGUGGUUUAACCCCAGCUGGCAACUAAGUACCACACAGCUCCUCACUCGCUGCCCCUCGUAGGAGGGGGAGGAGAAUUGGGGGGGAAAAGGUAAAACCCAUGGGCUGAGAUAAGAACAGUUUAAUAAUUAAAAUAAAAUAAUAAUAAUAGUAGUGAGAAGGGAGACAAGAGAGAAAGAAAUGCGAAGAAAUACACGUGCUGCACAGUACAAUUGCUCACCACCCCCAGCCAGUCCCUGAGCAGCAAUGGGCAGGCCCUGCCCAACUCCCCUCGGUUUAUAUACUCAGCAUGACAUUCUGUGGUAUGGAGUAUCCCUGGGGCUCGUUCGGGUCAGCUCUCCUGGCUCUGCUCCCUCCUGCCUUCUUGUGCGCCUCCUCGCUGGCAGAGCAUGGGCAACUGAAAAGUCCUUGAGUUAGAGUAAGCGUUGAUUAGCACUAACUAAAACAUCCCUGUGUUGUUAACGUUAUCCUUAUCUUAAAUUCAAAACACUUAACCAUACCAACUACUAGGAAGAAAGUUAAGUCUAUCCCAGCUGAAACGAGGACACCGUAGGAUCAGGAGUAAGAUCAGCCCUUCCCUGUCUGGGAAACUGGCCCCUGGAGACGGGAGCAGCAGUUUUCCUGGAAGAACACCCAUUUGUAACUGUUUUUCCUCGCAGCUCAUGCACCUGUGCCUCUGGGGUUGAGGUGGAUCUUCUGUCCCCCUCCCUCAUGUCCUCUCCAUGGUGCUGCAGGUGAAGCCACAGGGUACCCUGUGGUGUGUAGCUUCUAUAUCCCUGAUGGGUAAAAGCCCUCUCUUCAGCAAAAGAACGCUGACUGCUAGUAGCGGAGAUACUGGUCCAUACAGGUGGGGAGUAGGAGCUAUCCUCUGGUGCCUUUUCCUCCUGUUCCUGUGAUGGCCCUGCUUUGUCCUCUACUGAAUGAGCUAGCUUUUGUGUCAAUUUCUUCUGGUGCAUAGGGGUGACUAAAACCAGCAUGGGUUGGUUCUCUGGUUCAUACUUUUUCCAAGUAUUUUACAAGUUUUUCCAGAUUCUGCACUUGUUCAGAGGUGAAGUUCCAAAACAGUGGAGGUGCCCACUGUCCUAGGUACUUGCCCACACUAUCCCACACACCCUGCCACUUGUAACUAUCCAACGUCGGGGCAGCUCUCUGGGUGGUAUUCUUCAAGAGUUGUUUAACCUUAAGUAAGACCUGGAACAUAUUCAGCAAGAUGCUGGUUUUAACAUUGCAAGGAUUUUUACAAUUCUCAAAUGCUACUGUCAUCAGCCUGGUGGGGAAGGGGAGGAUAUGGGAAGACAUCUCCUCUAUAGGUUUGCUCUCCAAGAAAAGGGUAAAGGUGGAAUUAUUAAUCUUUUCCGGUAGAUGGCUCCCCAAGUACGGGGAUGACAAACAGCAGGUUAGUCUCAGGCCCAGCAGUUUUACUCUUACCAGAAAGCAGUGUUCAUAGGUACAACAAAAUUACAACCUUAGCCCAGGCCCCAGAGGUGAUUAAACAGCACAACAGGGAGCACAUAGUGCAAGUAAGGUACUACAUGAUGCAACUUUAAGAACAAAUGCAACAACUCUGAGAGCAAACAAAUCAACAUUGUGAACCAGCAGCUAUUAAACUAUAACAUAAUGAAUGCUUAUAACAGAUUUGUUCUAACACAUCGCAGCCAGAUUUUUCAUUAUCUCAACCUGUUGUGCCCCACACUGGGCACCAAAAAUGACUGUCGUGGUUUCACCCCAGCCAGCAACUAAGUACCGCUGAGCUGCUCGCUCACUCCCCCCACCCCUGUGGGAUGGUGAGCAGAAUCAGGAAAAGGUAAAAACCCGUGGGUUGAGGCAAGAACAGUUAACAAGUGAAAUAAAGUAACAUACAACAACAACAAUUAACAUGGAGCUACAAGAGACAGGAAUAAACCCCAAGAAAUUCAAGUGACACGCGACACAACUGCUCGCCACCUGCUGAUGGAUGCCCAGCCAGUCCCUGAGCAGUGAUUGCAGGUCCCAGCCAACCUCACCCCUGCUCUCCACACCCCACCCCCAUUUAUAUACCCAGCAUUAUGUUUGGUGUUACAGAAUACCCCUUUGGCUUGUUCGGGUCAGCUCUCCUGGCUCUGCUCCCUCCCGCCUUCUUGUGCACCUCCGCACUGGCAGAGCAUGGGCAACUGAAAGUCCUUGAUUUAGAGUAAGCACUAAUUAGCACCAACUAAAACAUCCCUUGUUGUUAGCAUCAUCCUUACCUUAAAUCCCAAACAUGUCGUUGUACUAACUACUAGGAAGAAAAUUAACUCCAUCCCAGCCGAAACCAGGACAGGGAACCUCUAUCCACUGCUCCUGUGAGGGUCAUCCAAGUUUGCCCUCCUUUUGCAAUACAGCACCUGCGUGGUCCGUAGCUCUGUACAUCUCUGAAGACCCCUUCACCUCCCGU